GGUAUUCGUUACGACGAAACCUUAACCUGCUAACUAGUCUGCUUGUGAAUAACAGGUUGUACUUCUUAGAGGGACUAUUGUGCAAUAAGCCAAUGGAAGUUUAAGGCAAUAACAGGUCUGUGAUGCCCCUAGACGUGCUCGGCCGCACGCGCGUUACAAUGACUGGCGCAAAAAGUAUUUCCUGUCCUGGGAAGGUACGGGUAAUCUUAUUAAUACCAGUCGUGUUAGGGAUAGUUCUUUGGAAUUGUGGAUCUUGAACGAGGAAUUUCUAGUAAGUGCAAGUCAUCAGCUUGCGUUGAUUAUGUCCCUGCCGUUUGUACACACCGCCCGUCGCUUGUAGUAACGAAUGGUCUGGUGAACCUUCUGGACUGCGACAGCAAUGUUGCGGAAAAAUAAGUAAACCCUACCAUUUGGAACAACAAGAAGUCGUAACAAGGUAUCUGUAGGUGAACCUGCAGAUGGAUCAUUA
This 469-nucleotide ribosomal RNA is filed under the name Tetrahymena sp. BOLD:AAO5062. Its description in RNAcentral is "SSU rRNA". It matches the Rfam family "Eukaryotic small subunit ribosomal RNA", at positions 1317 to 1831 of the family's 1831-position model. Lineage: Eukaryota; Ciliophora; Oligohymenophorea; Hymenostomatida; Tetrahymenidae. The record is from RNAcentral.